Mandrillus leucophaeus (drill) is the source of this 4676-nucleotide long non-coding RNA. RefSeq lists it as uncharacterized. NCBI's taxonomy places the organism in Eukaryota, Metazoa, Chordata, Mammalia, Primates, Cercopithecidae. The record is from RefSeq and is a predicted model, not a curated record. The transcript has 3 exons.
GGUAACUAUGGUGGUGGUGGGAACUAUAAUGAUUUUGGAAAUUAUAGUGGACAACAGCAGUCAAAUUAUGGACCCAUGAAAGGGGGCAGUUUUGGUGGAAGAAGCUCGGGCAGUCCCUAUGGUGGUGGUUAUGGAUCUGGUGGUGGAAGUGGUGGAUAUGGUAGCAGAAGGUUCUAAAAACAGCAGAAAAGGGCUACAGUUCUUAGCAGGAGAGAGAGCGAGGAGUUGUCAGGAAAGCUGCAGGUUACUUUGAGACAGUCGUCCCAAAUGCAUUAGAGGAACUGUAAAAAUCUGCCACAGAAGGAACGAUGAUCCAUAGUCAGAAAAGUUACUGCAGCUUAAACAGGAAACCCUUCUUGUUCAGGACUGUCAUAGCCACAGUUUGCAAAAAGUGCAGCUAUUGAUUAAUGCAAUGUAGUGUCAAUUAGAUGUACAUUCCUGAGGUCUUUUAUCUGUUGUAGCUUUGUCUUUUUCUUUUUCUUUUCAUUACAUCAGGUAUAUUGCCCUGUAAAUUGUGGUAGUGGUACCAGGAAUAAAAAAUUAAGGAAUUUUUAACUUUUCAAUAUUUGUGUAGUUCAGUUUUUCUACAUUUUAGUACAGAAACUUUAACAAAAUGCAGUUUUGAAGGUGUUUCCUUGUGAGUUAACAAGUAAAGAAGAUCAUUGUUAAUUACUAUUUUGUAUGAAUUUUGCUAAAGUUAACUGUAAAGAAACACCUGCUGACUUGCAGUAUAAGGGGAAUCUAUAGUCUCCCCAUUUCCAAACCAUGAUAUGAAUGGGCGCUGACAUGUGGAGAGAAUAGAUAAUUUGUGUGUUUGCAAUGUGUGUUUUAGAUAAAUAGGAUUGGGUAUUUAAAUUAGCAUUUGUGAAUUUAAUAGCAUUAAGAUUACCUUCAAAUGAAAAAAAUCUCAAAAUUUCUAUUUGGUUUUUGUGCAUUUUCUUUUAAAAUGUAAUCAUAUGAUUUUAGUGUGUUAGACUUGCUGAGUCCUAGCUGUGUUUAGAACAUCUCCAUACAUUUACCUUGGUCAAAUUUGAACUGCUGCCAUAGGUUUUGGGUGUAAAGAAUGUUUACUGCCCUCCAUUUAAAUUCUGAAAAGGGAUAGUGGAUGUUUUCCCUCUCCUAUGUUAGAAACUAUUCUUAAAAACUUUUCAAAAUAUAGAACCAUUAAGCCUGCUAUAUCUGAGCAAAUUAGUGGGUACCUUUUAUUUUUCUUUUUUUAAAGCACAAGAGGCCCAUAAAUCUUGAGUUAUUUUCCUUAGUUUAAUUUUUUUUGAUACAAGUUUUCAGAGCAAGAGAAUAAAAAUGAUGCGUUAUUAAACCCCUAACUGGCUGGCAUGCUUUCCUGUUUGUAUUCUAUACAUUUUGCUGGAUGAAACCAAGGAUAGUUUAGGUAUAAUUGUCCAAAAUAACCUAACUGCAGCAGAAAUGUAGCACAGUUGCUUAGUACAGGCUUCUCACUUCCUACAGACCUGAAUUCAAAUUUGAAUAGUCUUGAGUUCAUAAAUGCCCAAAGAACACACUGUUAUUUCUUGUGUAUAUUUCAACAUAAAUCAUGUUGUUACCAAUUGGUUCGGAAGGCCCUGGUUGAGAAGACUUUUAGAUAAUAAGGUCAUAUAUAUAUAUAGUAAUAUAAGCCAAUGUCUACUGUUUUGCGCCAGCUAGUGCUUACAAUUUCAUUUGAGCCCUGAGUAUGUGCCCUGCUGUUACUCUUUCUUUGGUAGUUGAACGUUGAAUUCAAGUCUUUCUUUUUGUUUUAAGAAGUACUAAGCAAACAAGCAAUAAAAAGGGGAAUGGGGCGUGCUAGUGUUUGAAUAUGCUCUCUUGUUGCUCUAAUUCUGUGCCUCUGUGCAUUAAUAUUUGGAUGCAUGCAAUGCCAGCAUGGAAAUUGGUCUUCACACAUACUGCAGUUUUCCAGAAACAUUCACAAAACAAUAAAUGUAACAGACAUUCCAUUUGUUAAUGGGCAUAUAUGUGAAAAGCAGUGUAGAAAAUAGGCUAAUAUUAGAAAAUGGUUAAGUCCUUAAUAACUUCAAGUGUGGUUAUAUAAUGGACACUGUCAAUGUUUAUAACUUAAACCUGGGUACCUGGUCAAAAUAAUGCUUGGGAAACAUUAAAAUUGAGCUAAAUUGUCUCAAGUUCUUUUAUUCAUAUAAAUAAAGUUUAAAGGAAUGGGGGAGAUUAACAUUUCCUGUUUUAUGUUUGUGAAAUUUGUUUGACACAACCUUGACAGUAUCCUUUAAUGGCAUGAGGUUAAUUGUACUGUUAACCAACUUUCUGUGUUCUGGAACUAGUAUUAUAGUGAAAACAUUUGCAGUAAGUUGAUGUUUACAACCUAUAAGCAGGUGAAAUCUGUAUAUGUGACCUGUUUAUAAGUUGUAUUAGCUUAGAUCUUGUGAACAGUGUGGAAAAGUAAGCCAUGAGGAGAGCGAUUUAACCAGCUUUAAAGGACCUAAGAUGUGCUUUUUAAGCACAGUGUGGAUCAAAGGAAACUCACUAAGACAGGACUUCAGCAGCCUUUUGUGUUUGGACAAGUCAGCAUAAAUAAAGAAUGACAAGGCAGCAGCAAGAGCUUCAACUACAGAGAAGUGAAGGCAUAAGAUACUAUGAUGAUAGUGAGCAACUUUCCAAAAGCUAGUUAAAUCUGCUUAUUACAACUGAAAUAUCGAAGAAAGUCUAGCAGGAAGGAGCUCUUCGCCUUUUGGAACAUCAAUGAGAGAUAGUUGCCACAGUCACUAGGUCUAGCAUUUAGACCUGCAAGGAAGGGCAAUAAGCAUUAGGUAAGGCUUGAAUUUGAAUUUUUUCACUAAUUAAAGAGUAAUUUUUUGUAAAGCAAGGUAAGAGUAAUCUUUUUGAUUUGCAGGUUGAAUGAGAACCCUACUUGCCUAAAUGAGGAAUGUCUUUCCUACCAUCUAAAAUACGAAGGUUUCUGGCUGGGUAAGGUUUGUAGUUGACAGUAAAACCUGAUGACACCAUUUGUUUCCCUGCAAGUCUACAUUACAUAUUUCACAACUUUGUCCCUCUCUAGUAGGCACAUUGAUAAAAUUCUUCGACUGAAAACUACCUGGGUACCAUGUCCAACACAUUUUAAACCUUAGUUUUAAAAAUUUUCCUGCAAAAUAGCCAUAAGUAUUAAUAUCAAGUCAGUUGUGACCCCUCGUGUAUGCAAUUCAUUAUUAGUGUCUUCAGGGUAAACUCAAUUUUUGGUAAGAGAAAGUAGCUUCAGCUUUUGUGAAAACCAUUUUUGUAAUAAGCAUGACACACAGCACACUAAGCUGCCAAUCCUCAUACUAGGAAAACACCUUCAGAGGAACAUUAAAAGUUACCAGGGCCAGGCACAAUGGCUCACGCCUGUAAUCCCAGCACUUUGGGAGGCCGAGGCAGAUGGAUCCCGAGUCCAGGAGUUUGAUACUAGCCUGGGCAACAUAACGAGACCCUGUCAACAAAAAAUACAAAAAUUAGCUGGGCCUGGUGGUACACAUCUGUAAUCCCAGCUACUUGGGAGGCUGAGGUGGGAGGAUGCCUUGAUCCCAGGUGGUUAAGGCUGCUGUGAGCUGACUGCCCCACUGUAUUCCAGCCUGGGUGACAGACCCCAUCUCAAGAAAAGUUAUCAGAUGUCAUGGAUAAAGGUUGGUCUUCAAGUGGCCUCAUACGUUCUCUUGCAUAUAAAUUCAGGGAAUUCAUUGGACCAAUAGGUUACAUUUUGCUUCCUUUUUUGUUUUGGUUCAUGUUAGGCAGUGGGGGCCUAAUUAGUGCUCCUUUGUAAAAAAACGUUUUCCUGAAGAAUACUGAAUUACUGUUCAGACUGGUUGUUGUUGGUAAUAAGGGCUGUUUUUGCUGCCCCAAAAGGGCUUAACCAUUUAGGUGGUUAGUUUACUUUAAAAAACAAAAAUCCUUUGGAGACAGACAGUGAAAAUGCAAACUAGUUUCUAAAUUACCAGUUCCCUACAGGAAGAUGCAGUUUGCCAGUGUUUAGUCUCAGAAAAUGACUGGUUGGCUCUGUAUCUAAAUCAGAACCCAAUUUCUACACGUGUUGAAUAAGGUAACAGCCUUUGAUGAAUUUCCCUCACAACAUGGUUUUAGUGAAGCAGACAAUUUUAUUUUUUAAGGGCAUUGUUCUUUCUAGUUCAUUUCUUUUUAUGAAAUAAAAUUAUUUUGUUUAAACAUAGUUCCAUUGUCGUUUCUGAAAAAUACAGUAUUCUCAUAAGUUGUAGCAGCAGUUUAAAAAAAAAAUUGUUAUAUAAGUGGUUGGGGCAGAUUUAACUGAUUUUGUUAAACCAAUUUGUAGGUUACUGCUUCUAAUAUUACACUGCUAAAAAGCUGAAUUUAUACUCAUGUCCUAAAGGAGAAUAUGUGAUAAUGAAGUACAUUUGUUAAGUAACUAAUUGAAAUAGGCUUGGUUUUAAGAGUUCCGGUAUAUAAUAGAAGUUGAAACCUAAUUGACAGUAUCUCUUGGAGUUCCAGUAAUGUCACAAAUUAGUGAAUAAGCAUGCCAGUGUGCAAGGGUAAUGUAAGGAUUGUUAGCCUAUCUAAAUAUUCAAAAUUACUUUAAAACUUCAGUAUGUUUUCUGAUUUUUAAGAAUUCAGAAGUGUUCUGUAAUGGAUUCAGAUGUUUCAUUUGUAGUAUAAUGAAAUGUUUACAGAAAGAUAACUUUUUCAUUAAAAUAUUUUUAGAAAUG